RNAcentral lists this ribosomal RNA (252 nucleotides) under uncultured bacterium. RNAcentral describes it as "partial 16S ribosomal RNA". It matches the Rfam family "Bacterial small subunit ribosomal RNA", at positions 524 to 776 of the family's 1533-position model. The record is from RNAcentral.
UACGUAGGGGGCGAGCGUUAUCCGGAUUUAUUGGGCGUAAAGCGUGUGUAGGUGGUUCGUAAGGUCAGGCGUAAAAUAUCACAGCUUAACUGUGUAGGGCGUUUGAAACCGACGGACUUGAAUACGGUAGAGGCAGGUGGAAUUCCAUGUGUAGCGGUGGAAUGCGUAGAUAUAUGGAGGAACACCAAUGGCGAAGGCAACCUGCUGGGCCGGAAUUGACACUGAGACACGAAAGCGUGGGGAGCAAACAGG